RNAcentral lists this ribosomal RNA (276 nucleotides) under uncultured prokaryote. RNAcentral describes it as "partial 16S ribosomal RNA". It matches the Rfam family "Bacterial small subunit ribosomal RNA", at positions 524 to 800 of the family's 1533-position model. The record is from RNAcentral.
UACGUAGGGGCGAAGCGUUAUCCGGAAUUAUUGGGCGUAAAGUGUGCGUAGGUGGUUACCUAAGCGCAAGGUUUAAUCUUGAGGCUCAACCUCAUUCUGCCUUGCGAACUGGGCUACUUGAGUGCUGGAGGGGAAAGCGGAAUUCCUAGUGUAGCGGUGAAAUGCGUAGAUAUUAGGAAGAACACCGGUGGCGAAGGCGGCUUUCUGGACAGUAACUGACACUGAGGCACGAAAGCGUGGGGAGCAAACAGGAUUAGAUACCCUGGUAGUCCCUGA